CUCUGUGAGGCGGAUGGGUUGGUCCAGCUCUGACCCUCCAUCAUCUUACACCUCUCUACCACGCUCAGAACCCACUCCACUUGGCAGAGGUGAAUGUGCCAAUGCCUCUAGAAUGCCAGGCACCCUAAAAUUCCAGGCCUGCCAGACACCCCGAAUUUCAAGGCGCAGCCCUGGUCCCCCAAGGCUUUGACAGCCAGGAAGAGGAGACAGGAGCCUGGAGCUUGGCUCUUUUUCCUUGGCAAAUUCUGGGGCACAGGACAGAAAGCGGAAAUAGGAAGAGACCACACCAUCCAAGCUGAGGCUUUGGGACCAAAAGGGACCCUGGGAAUCUCGAGGUCCAACUGUCUACACUUUAUGGAUGGAGACACUCGGGCCGAGAAGGGAGAAGUGAGGUCGCCCAGUGAUGUAGGAGCAGAGCAAGCACCGGGCACCGGUCCCCGGCUCGCCCAUCCCACCAGGCUGGCCCCUACUGCAGGAUUUUUGCUGUGAAAACCAGUGUUCUGACAUCAGAAGGCACAUCCUCUGCAAAUGUAGAUUUCUGAGCAAACACGCCCGUGAGAAGCUCCUGGUUGGCGAAUCAGAUAAUUCAUCACUUGAUUCUGGUGACCUCUAGUGGACGCACUUUAAAAGCAAUAUUCAGGUCUCAAGUAAAGGGACAGAGCUCAGACAAGUGUCCCGGAAGCAGUUUAUCCAGAGCUGGGCUUCUCAGACUCUCAGGUGCCUGCCAAAGAUCUGGGAAGAUUAGGAACCCGCGGCGUCCGGCCCCGGUAGGCCUGGUGAGUUGGAGACUCUGCCUUGUAACCCGCUCCCAGGUGCCGGCCGCGCUGCAGGUACUGAGAGCGCAGGUCCGAGGCCGGAGGAGACGCAGAGCUCAGAGCCACCUGCUGCUGAGCCACUGCCUGCGGGAGGCGCUCCCACGGACUAGCUCACUGCCCCGAAGUCAGAGGAAGGGCGGAGAUGUGACGCGCCCGAGGACACACAGCUGGCUAGGGCAGGAUUUUCACCGAGGACCUUGAAAAGCCAGCAGCCCCCACAUCCACAGUCACAUGUUAGAAAAUCCCGGGGACAGCACACUACAGUUUAUACAGAGCUUUGCACCUGCAUCACCAUCACCUGGCUACAUAAUUUGUGGGCCUAGUGGAAAAUAAAAAUUUGGGUCCCCUUGUCCCAAAAGCAGGGUACAUUACAGUUAAAGGAAUUAAAUAUGAAGUUUUCCCUUUAGAAUAUUUUAUUACGUGUACACUCUAAUAGGGACAACGGUGACAUGUGAGUGAGAACACAAACUUUAAAAUUGUAAAAAUAAUAUUUUUG
RNAcentral lists this long non-coding RNA (1311 nucleotides) under Equus caballus (horse). RNAcentral's name for it is "lncRNA (ENSECAG00000033347.3)". Lineage: Eukaryota; Metazoa; Chordata; Mammalia; Perissodactyla; Equidae. The record is from RNAcentral.